AUGCAGCCGUUGGGCCAGGGCCCGGUGUCGCGGGGCCAGCUUUGCGAUUUGCCUGGCGUCUCGUCUUCCGGCGCGUCCUGCACUACGUCAAGUUCCGGUGGCGGAGGCAGGCUCUGGCGACGGCGCGCGCACCGUCGAGUCGCAAGUCCUGUCCAGUCCUACAGCCUGGGCGACGCCGAUCCUAGCGGCUUUUCGGGCGUAGGCGUGGGCUCGCCAGAGAUGCAGCCGUUGGAUGGGGGGCCGACACUGCAGGGGCAGGGUUGCCUAGUGCCUGAUGUCAACUCCUCCGGCGCUUCCUGUACAACCUUCAGUUCAGGUGCCGGAGGUGUGGCGUCGGCAGGCUCCGGCGACGGGGCGCGCACCGUCGACUCGUGCAGCGCGGUUCAGUCGUACCACCCCGGUGUCCCGACUGCGACAAACACCACCAUCCACGUUGGGUGGAAACGCAGGCCAAGAGGGCCACGCGGCCCAGAUGAGAGGGCAGUAGUAGUUGAUCGUGUGCCGGCGCUUGAAGCUGCUAUCCGAGGAUUCGCUAAUAGGGGAACCAAGGUGGUUGUCAACCCAACGCUUGGUACAGUCUUUGAUUCGCUUGCAGAGGCGUACGAAUUCUUCAAUCUGUAUUCAUGGGAGGUUGGUUUCGGUAUUCGUUACGGCAAGAGCAGGCAGAAUGUCAAUGGGACCAAGUGCAUGCAGGAGAUCGUGUGUGGGUGUGCUGUAAGUUUCUGUAUUUUAUUUUCCCCCGGACUGAAUGAUGAACAGAAGCUGUAA
Molecule: ribosomal RNA, 768 nt
Filed under: Triticum aestivum (bread wheat)
Lineage: Eukaryota; Viridiplantae; Streptophyta; Magnoliopsida; Poales; Poaceae
Description: partial small subunit ribosomal RNA
Source: RNAcentral